GGAGCGCGGGCUGGGCUGGGCUGGGCUGCGCGGGCGGGAGCGAGGGGUGC
This 50-nucleotide microRNA precursor is filed under the name Tupaia belangeri (northern tree shrew). RNAcentral's name for it is "miRNA (ENSTBEG00000020452.1)". The record is from RNAcentral. Lineage: Eukaryota; Metazoa; Chordata; Mammalia; Scandentia; Tupaiidae.